This is a long non-coding RNA of Vitis vinifera (wine grape), 1661 nucleotides long. RefSeq annotates it as protein SENSITIVITY TO RED LIGHT REDUCED 1. The record is from RefSeq and is a predicted model, not a curated record. The transcript has 3 exons. Lineage: Eukaryota; Viridiplantae; Streptophyta; Magnoliopsida; Vitales; Vitaceae.
GAUAGUAGUUUUAGUUUUUGAGAGCUCACAGUUCACAAAAGCGGCUGUCGGCUUGGCUCCUGCCAUCUCCGGUUCAUCUCCUUCCGCCGGCUCAUCGCUCCUCCUCCGCUGGUUUUUCAAUUAUCAGUCGACUGCAAAUGAUUCAGCUCCAGUUGUAGCUAACAUAGCUUUGUCAGGCGCCUAGUUGAAUGAAUCGGGUUCUGGGAUCUAAAUUAAAGAUGCAGAUGGUUGUACAUGGUAUAGGCAGCAUUGAAUUAUAUGAACCCCCUCGAUUGCAUCUUAGCCUAUCAAUCUUGCUGAAAUGAAACUUCAGUUGGAUUGGGGACAUAGAGGUAUUUGAUCCAAUUCUUUCCGCCAUAAAAUCUAGAGUGUUGGAAGCCCUGGGUUGUUCUAUUCUAUCAGUCAAUGAGCAAGGUUGGCGACAAGCUUCAAAGCCUCACUGUUCUUCAUGCCACAAUGUGAGGCAGAGUCAUACGAUAAUCUUGUACAGGCGAAUUGGAGAACAGAGCGUUUGAAUAAUAUUGUGUUGUUUGGAGACAGCUUUAGGACAUAUGAACAGCAUGUAUCAGAGUUUAGGAGCUCAACUCUUGUUGAUUCCUCAAGGCAUAUCUUGGCUGUUAGAAAGUUCACGCGUGAAUUUGCAAUCAAGACAGUUUCAGAUGAUUAUUUUGGAGCCUUCCAUGAUUCAAGCUGGCAUUUCUUGAGCCUUGUUGCUUGAGCAGCUUUGCAGUUCACAAGCAAGACUGAAUGAUGAUUGAAAACAAUCUUAUUUCUAAUUUUUCAUUGCAUUCAAAACAAGUUUACUGUUAUCUUAAUACCUGCAACAACCCGGAUCAAGUAGAUUAGUAAUCGACACUAUUUCAAAGUCUGUAUUAUCACUAAUAUGCUCUUGGAGAUGCCUCCAAUCUAUCUUGAUUUCGCACAUUGUUUCUCAUUCAUAUCUAUCACAUUUAUUUCAGAAACAUUUGGGGAGGUUGGCUUCUAGUCCAACCAAUCUACCUAUGCUGAAAGCAACACACAUUUUAUUCAUUACAUGAAAAUAUAUUUUAGUCUUCUCUUGGAAGCCAUAACAACAGCAGAGGAAAUCAUUUCUUGUUGUUCCCAUUUAGAUCGACCAGUAACUGAUGGCCGAAACAUUAGGGCAUCAGCCAGAUUACUAGGUGGGAGGGGAACCGACGAUAUGGGCAGGAUGUCGACACGUCACGUGACCAUGAUGGGCAUGUGGGGAGCAGCUUGGAGAUAUCCCGCCAUCCAAGUGUACAGUUUUAUCUUCUGCAAGAACCCAAACAAGAAAUAACUUUUGCAGGUCUGCAUAAAGUAGGUACAAUAACCGGAAACCCCAUGACCAUGAUUGAGGAAAAGUACUUACCAUAUGGAGCAACUUGGAUCAAUUCCCGCGAUAGGGUUUCCUGAGAAAGGAAGAGAAGUAAAACUGAAAGAAGAAUGCAAAUGGUGGGAGAAACCUUGUGAAACACCAUCUUGUGAGGUUGUAGAGAAAUUGUUGUGCCUUCCUCGACCUUUAAAUAGACUGAGGGAGAGGAGAAAAAAAUGAGUGUGCUUUGAGUGGGAAAAUGGUUCAGAAGAACACCAGUUGACGGAGGACCAUCUAGGAUUCCACUUUCAAGCAUCCUUGCACCUUCCCAAGUCAAAAAAAAAAACAA